GUGAGGAAUUUUGCGCAAUGGGGGAAACCCUGACGCAGCGACGCCGCGUGGAGGAUGAAGGCCUUCGGGUCGUAAACUCCUGUCAGAGGUGAAGAAACCCCGCAAGGGUUUGACGGUAACCUCAGAGGAAGCCCCGGCUAACUACGUGCCAGCAGCCGCGGUAAUACGUAGGGGGCAAACGUUACUCGGAAUUACUGGGCGUAAAGGGUGCGUAGGCGGCUGAGAUAGUCAAGGAUGAAAUCCCGUGGCUUAACUGCGGAACGGUCCUUGAAACUUCUCAGCUUGAGGAUAACCGAAGAGAACGGAAUUCCCGGUGGAGCGGUGAAAUGCGUAGAUAUCGGGAGGAACACCUGAGGCGAAAGCGGUUCUCUAGACUACUCCUGACGCUGAGGCACGAAAGCUAGGGGAGCAAACGGGAUUAGAAACCCUUGUAGUCC
This 437-nucleotide ribosomal RNA is filed under the name uncultured bacterium. RNAcentral's name for it is "bacterial SSU rRNA". It matches the Rfam family "Bacterial small subunit ribosomal RNA", at positions 354 to 796 of the family's 1533-position model. The record is from RNAcentral.